This 71-nucleotide transfer RNA is filed under the name Lophophysema eversa. RNAcentral describes it as "tRNA-Gln". It matches the Rfam family "tRNA". From Rfam's summary of the family: Transfer RNA (tRNA) molecules are approximately 80 nucleotides in length. Their secondary structure includes four short double-helical elements and three loops (D, anti-codon, and T loops). Further hydrogen bonds mediate the characteristic L-shaped molecular structure. tRNAs have two regions of fundamental functional importance: the anti-codon, which is responsible for specific mRNA codon recognition, and the 3' end, to which the tRNAs corresponding amino acid is attached (by aminoacyl-tRNA synthetases). tRNAs cope with the degeneracy of the genetic code in two manners: having more than one tRNA (with a specific anti-codon) for a particular amino acid; and 'wobble' base-pairing, i.e. permitting non-standard base-pairing at the 3rd anti-codon position. Lineage: Eukaryota; Metazoa; Porifera; Hexactinellida; Amphidiscosida; Hyalonematidae. The record is from RNAcentral.
UAAAAGUUAGCUUAAAGGAAAAGCAUUUUGCUUUGAACUAAAUAACAUGAGUUCAAAUCCCAUACUUUUAA